Molecule: ribosomal RNA, 429 nt
Filed under: Gemmatimonadota bacterium
Lineage: Bacteria; Pseudomonadati; Gemmatimonadota
Description: Gemmatimonadetes bacterium partial 16S ribosomal RNA
Rfam family: Bacterial small subunit ribosomal RNA
Source: RNAcentral
UAGGGAAUCUUCGGCAAUGGACGAAAGUCUGACCGAGCAACGCCGCGUGAGUGAAGAAGGUUUUCGGAUGGUAAAACUCUGUUGUUAGAGAAGAACAAGGACGUUAGUAACUGAACGUCCCCUGACGGUAUCUAACCAGAAAGCCACGGCUAACUACGUGCCAGCAGCCGCGGUAAUACGUAGGUGGCAAGCGUUGUCCGGAUUUAUUGGGCGUAAAGCGAGCGCAGGCGGUUUCUUAAGUCUGAUGUGAAAGCCCCCGGCUCAACCGGGGAGGGUCAUUGGAAACUGGGAGACUUGAGUGCAGAAGAGGAGAGUGGAAUUCCAUGUGUAGCGGUGAAAUGCGUAGAUAUAUGGAGGAACACCAGUGGCGAAGGCGGCUCUCUGGUCUGUAACUGACGCUGAGGCUCGAAAGCGUGGGGAGCAAACAGG